This 253-nucleotide ribosomal RNA is filed under the name uncultured bacterium. RNAcentral's name for it is "partial 16S ribosomal RNA". It matches the Rfam family "Bacterial small subunit ribosomal RNA", at positions 524 to 776 of the family's 1533-position model. The record is from RNAcentral.
UACGGGGGGUGCGAGCGUUGUCCGGAAUCACUGGGCGUAAAGGGCGCGUAGGUGGCGUGAUAAGGGUGUGGUGAAAGCCCGGGGCUCAACCCCGGGUCUGCCAUGCCGACUGUCAGGCUCGAGUGCUGUAGGGGCAGGCGGAAUUCCGGGUGUAGCGGUGGAAUGCGUAGAGAUCCGGAGGAAGACCGGUGGCGAAGGCGGCCUGCUGGGCAGUUACUGACACUGAGACGCGAAAGCGUGGGGAGCAAACAGG